ACGAACGCUGGCGGCGUGCUUCACACCUGCAAGUCGAACGGAAAGGCCCUGCUUUUGUGGGGUGCUCGAGUGGCGAACGGGUGAGUAACACGUGAGUAACCUGCCCUUGACUUUGGGAUAACUUCAGGAGACUGGGGCUAAUACCGGAUAGGAGCUCCUGCUGCAUGGUGGGGGUUGGAAAGUUUCGGCGGUUGGGGAUGGACUCGCGGCUUAUCAGCUUGUUGGUGGGGUAGUGGCUUACCAAGGCUUUGACGGGUAGCCGGCCUGAGAGGGUGACCGGCCACAUUGGGACUGAGAUACGGCCCAGACUCCUACGGGAGGCAGCAGUGGGGAAUAUUGCACAAUGGGCGGAAGCCUGAUGCAGCAACGCCGCGUGCGGGAUGACGGCCUUCGGGUUGUAAACCGCUUUCGCCUGUGACGAAGCGUGAGUGACGGUAAUGGGUAAAGAAGCACCGGCUAACUACGUG
Molecule: ribosomal RNA, 467 nt
Filed under: uncultured bacterium
Lineage: Bacteria
Description: partial 16S ribosomal RNA
Rfam family: Bacterial small subunit ribosomal RNA
Source: RNAcentral